GAAACAGAGAGGGAUAGAGAUACAUUGGCGAACAUUGGUGGGAGAGGAAGAGGAACCGAGAGAGGGAUGGGUGGUAGAUACCAGCUACAGGGAGGAAAGCAGUGAAACGAGAGGGAGGGAAGGAGGGUGUGUGUGCGCGCGCGCGUAGAUCCAGCACGAGAGGAAGGAGAGAGAGAAGAGAAGAGAAGAGAAGAGAGCCCUGGAAAAGCCGGGAGUGUUCCUCUCCGACGACCCCCAUCAGUCGAGGUUUCCGCGAGGGAAAGCUACCCUCGUCGUGUCCUCCUCGUCGUUGUCGGUCGUCGGUCGUCGUUGUCGGUCGUCGUGGUGGUUGUGGUGGACGUCGUGUUGGACGUCGUGGUGGUCUCUUCGUUUUCGUCUUCGUCUUCGUCUACGACGUGUUCGCGUUUGUACCUGUCGUCGUUGUCCUCCUCAGAGAGAAAGAAGACACGACGUAUUACUCGUGAUUGGUUACUGGAACAGUGUUGACGCGUUCAUCGUCUAAUUUCAAGAUCAUCGAUUAUUCGUGAUUACUUUGAAAAAAAGAAAAAACGAAUCAAAACAAAACAAAAAGGGGGGUAGUUUUGGUAAUUGGAAAAGAAACUCGUCUCAAACGUUGAGUUAAUUAACUCUCCCUUAAUUUAUUAAGAGGGGGGGUGUUGAGUGGGAACAUUUUUUCUUCGUCGAAGUGUAGCA
RNAcentral lists this long non-coding RNA (693 nucleotides) under Polistes fuscatus (common paper wasp). RNAcentral's name for it is "uncharacterized LOC122524608". The record is from RNAcentral. Lineage: Eukaryota; Metazoa; Arthropoda; Insecta; Hymenoptera; Vespidae.